RNAcentral lists this long non-coding RNA (6629 nucleotides) under Solanum tuberosum (potato). RNAcentral's name for it is "long non-coding RNA (STUB_LNC008117)". The record is from RNAcentral. Lineage: Eukaryota; Viridiplantae; Streptophyta; Magnoliopsida; Solanales; Solanaceae.
CCUUUCUCCUCCCCCAACCCCAAGAAAAUAGAAGGUACACUCUAUACGGCUCUUCUGAUUCAGUUUUGAUAAAGAGGAAAAUGAGCAAACAAAAUACACUCGAUGCGCAUCUCUUCUUUUCUAGGUUUGAUAAGAGUAAAAUCAGUCUUUACUUCAGUCUUUUUGGAAAGGAAAUCAGCGUGUCUCCACGUUUUUGCAUUACACAUUCCAGUUCUUUGAAAGGAAAAUCGGGCUUCUUUUCUUACUGCUCGUCAAUACAUGCUUUUUACAGGUUGGUUGUUUCUUUUCAAAUUAAGUUUAUUUUGUUUGAACUAUUAAUUGCUUUGUGGAAUGCCUAAGUUUGCCCAAUUCUUGGUUUAUACUGUAUACAUUAUCUAGGUUUUUCCCCUCUUUUUGGUUUUCAUGCAAUAUGCAUAUAUUUGGCUUAUUGUAUGUACUCAUGUGAGCGCUUAUGUUAGUAUCCUUUAUUGAAAAUGAUGAUAAGUUUUGAAUAAAUUUGUUAAUCUGAGGAUAAUUUUUUUGAUAAUAGGUUAAAGGAGAUGAAAUUGAGUUUCUUUAGUGUUUUCAAUGUUCUCUUUUUUUGCCAAUUAUUAUUGAAUAAAUCUGUUAAUCUGCUAAAUUCUGAGGAUAAUUUCUCAUAAUUUUUCUUCCUUUUCAUUAAGUUUAAAUUAAAGAUUGUUCAAAGUUAAUAAAUAUAACAGUAUAACAUUAUCACCUAUCAUCACAUUAUCCAUCGAGUGAAUUGAGUUUCUACCAAGUUGCAGAACUUGAUUUCAAAGGAGGACAAAAGGUCUACAGUAGUGAACAAUGCAAUAAAAAACUCUUGAAAAACUCUUAAGCAGAUCAACGAUAAUGGCCUAGAGACAAAGUCUGCUCCUCUUCCAGGUUUCCAUAUUGAGGUUCUUGCCUUGUGGUGAAAGUGUCUUCUUCCUCCGGAGACCCCUGGAUUUCUUCCCAGCUGAAGUCACUCCACAAAGCUUUCUAUGCUUAUGCACUGUAUUGCAGAUCCAGUUGAUUCUUGGGUCAUUCCUCACAGCAGCAUGGGCUGCAUCAACCAGGAUGACUUUUGUAUUUAUAUGUUGAAUCCUCAUUGAUUCAGUAAGAGUUGAGGACCUUAAGAACACCCAAUUUCCUACCAGCAUGCUCCUCAGCAACAAAUUGUUUACUAAUCUGACACUUUAACUAGGUAACAACCUGGUUGGUAGGCUUAACGUACACAAUACCCUUUGAUACAAGCCUCUUCCUUCCACCACGCUUCACAUGAACACGGUAAACCACAUAGCCCUGUUUUGAUUUGUAACCCAAGUGUCGUGCCUUUUUAGGAUGAGUAAGCCUACUGACGCGCACUUUUGAUGGAAUUUGGCGGUACUCCCAUCCCCUGCAUAUCACCCUCUACAAGAACCUCAUCACAUCAGACUGCUGCUUCCUUCAUAGCUUUGACAUGUAAGUGUAGGCACCCAUUGUAGUGUCGAAACUCUAUACUCUUACUCAGCUGUUCUCGAUGAAGUUCUGUUCAAAGUUUAUAUUGUCUUCCCUACAUGUUUUCUAGAGAAAAAUAUAUUUGUAAAGGCUAAGUUACAGAUUCCUCUGUGAGAUAGGGCAAGAUAAUAAUUCUACUACCUUAAUUUUAAUUUUAGCAUAUCAUUUUACCAAUUAGGUAGACAAUGUUGUCUCAUAAUUUCUGUAUUCAAGCCAAGAGCUCAAAUUGGUUGCUUCUCUAUGGUUGGAGGAGAGUAGUUUUGGAACUUUUAUAAAGUACUAGAUGAUGAAUGCCCGUGAGCGCACAUGCCCAAUAUGGUAUUAGGCAAUAUUUAGGCGAUAGACAUUCCUUAUAUACACACAUAUGUUAUUUAUAGAAUACAUUUGUGAUUGCAUAUGUAAUUCUAUUUGCAUAUUUACAUUGUUUUUAGUAGCUACAUGUUUUUGUGGAAGCUAGAUAGAUAGCAGUGGUAGUGCUGUUGUUGUGAGUGUUUAAUUCAUAGUAAAUGUGUAGUGUAGUAAGAAUUGAGUAUGAUAGGUUGUUACGUACCUUUUUGAGGCAUUGGGUGUCGUGCAUAUUCAUGUUCAAUUUUAUUCCAGCUUUUCACACAAGGCAGUGCAAGCGAAGUGCUUGCCAUAGAAGAGGGUAGAUUAGUUGAGGGGAAUGUAACUGUGUUUUCAAGCAGGCCACUAUUUUUUAAAUUAGCUUUGUUUGCUCGUUGUCGAACCGAAGAAGUUGUUUUUUUGUCUGGUGCCUUUAAGAGGUAUAAUUCAUAAUGCCUAGUCUGUUUAUUGGCGGCUAUACUGCCGGAGAUUUGACCUAUUUUAUCGCUUUACAGGCACAAUAUGGUACUGUCUAGUGUUUCAAGUUAUUCGGAAGAGUUCAUAAUACAAAAUCUUUAAUUACAUAAUCUCAAAUUUUGGUAUCAACUUUUCUGAACUCUUUAAUUAUGUAAUCUGUAAUUUUCUUAAAAGUUCUUGGAGUUGAGAGAAGAUUAGAAUAUAGAGUAACUUGUUCAUAAACAUCAUCUCUAACUCCAAGAGGCUGGGCUUAAGUCCACAUACACUCUAUCCUCUGAGAUCUCACCUAAGGGAUUACACUAGGUAUGUUAUUGUUGUAUGUAAUUAACUUAAGAAAAAGGAACUGAAAGAGAAAGAGUAAGAAAUGUCGAUACUAAACCGACCACUUAACUCAUGGGAUGACAAGUCGUGGGAAGACGUUCACAAUGAGGGAAAUAGAUGAAAGUGUUGUUAGCGAUAUUUAUGAGCACAUCAAAUUUGUAAAUAUGAAUCUUUUCUUGUUUUAUGAUUGAGAAGUUGGGGGUUUGAUAUUUGAGUGUUUUUUUCUUUUUUCAGCAUUAUCCACUACUGAGAGGGACUUUGUACUGAAAUUUUCUGCUUUAGAAAUAUAUAAUGAGACAAUAGACCUCCAGAAUUGUGCGUCUUGCUCACUUCACCAGUUGAAUGACCAAGAGGUUUAAAAUUUUCUUAAUUAAUGAGUUCAAAUUUCUCUUAACUAGAAUUCCCUUAAAAAUAAUUUUUUCUUGAAACUUUUUGUCUCCUAAUGCAAAAAGGUAUUAUUGUAGAAAAACUAGUGGAUGAGAUUGUAAAUGAUGGCCAACAUCCGAGGACCUUAAUUGGUACCUGUAAAGGUAAGUAAGGUAACAUACUUUUGAUUAAUAUUCUUCAGUGAUAAAUGAUUGCAUUAUCUUAUGCAUAAAAGAAUGUAGCCUUAGAAACCUCAGUAUCUAUAUUUUUAAGUUCAGAAUUUUCUCUGACAUUGUGGUUAAAAAUACUUGUCACUUGUUGCAGCUCAAAAACAGGUGGGUGAAACUUCUCUAAAUGAUUAAAGCUCAACCUCUCAUCAGACAAUCAAGCUGGUAAAGAUACUGGUCCUAUUUCUACUUAGAUUAAAAGUAUUUGGCAUUGUGAAGCUUCUCUGCACAUUUGACAUAAGAUAGAUUAUGUACAUGAAAUAGUUAGGUAUUCAAGCAUGUGAAAUUGAACACAAGGAUUAAAUCAUCAUAUUGAAAUCUUUGUUAUUUACUUUGUUAGAACACCUGAGCUAUGUACUAUAUGCUAGCUGAAUGCAGUAAAUCUAAUCUACCCAAUAACUAUAAAAAAAUGUCUCUUUAAAUUAAUCAAGAUGUAAAAUUAUUGUUAUAUGUGGUUGCAGCCUUUUUCUAUGUUGGGACCUGGGAAUUCUAAGGUUGCAUCACAACAGUUCUUAUUUUCAUAAUGUAUAUGGAAAAGAUCAUAGAAACUUGGGAAAAGAAGUGGAUGAAAUGAGGAAGUAUUGAAAAUAUUAUUCUUAAUUAUAUGAUCUUAUUGAAACUAGGAUGAAACUACUGAUUAUUAAUUAAAUUAAUGACCACAUGCCACAAUUUUGAUGGCUUGCAACUCUUUAAUGCUGCAUAAUUGCCAUUAUUAAGUGGCCGGUCUUACUUUCAGCACCUCUUGCUCUUUCUCUUCCAGUUUCUUUUUCAUUAAUUAAUUGUAUACAACAACAACAACAUACUCAGUGUAAUCCCACAAGUAAGAAGAAUAGAGUGUAUCCAAACCUUAGCCCUAUCUCUUGGAGUCAAAGAGGUUGUUUAUAAAAAAAAGUUAACUUUGUAAUCUAAUCAUUUAUCAACUCCAAGAUCUUCUAAGAAAAUAUCAGAUUACAUAAUUAUAGAGUUCAUAUAAGUUGAUAUCAAAAUUUGAGAACACCAGAUGAUGUACUUACAAAUUUUGUAACAUGAAAUAUUAGACAGUACCAUAUUGUGCUUGUAACUAUCUUGUUAUCUUCAUUAUUGUUUAGCCAUCUCAAACAACAAUGAUUAGCAUAUCAGAGAGGUUGUAAUGACAUUACCUGAUGAAUCCAUAUCAAUUAAAAUGGCAAGAUUAUCCCAUCACCUACACCAGCCAAUUACAUAUUACUUUCUAAUAAUCAUUUUUCCACUAUAAUGUGUUGAUGGUACUUGUACCGACUUCCUCUCCACCCCUAUCACAUAGUGUUGUUGUGUUUGUGGCUGAGUGGAAUGAGAGAACUACAGAACAUAAGAUUAUAAGGUGCAAAUGAGAAGGUUUUAUGCACAUUAAGGGUGUAAAAUGUAUAGAAAUUCAUACAAACAAAGUGAGCUGGAAGGAUUUUUAGACUAUUACCAAUUUAAGGUUCAGAUUCGUCCAAGUUUGAUGUAAUUCCUCUUUUCUUCCUCCUACUCUUCACCAAUAAGUUCUUCUUGAUAGCUUUGAUAACUUUAACUUUUCCACCUUCUACUUUUUAGCACUCUCUUCCUUUCUUCUCCUACCUUUUUUUCAAAAGUUUUCUUCACUCAUACAAGUGAUUGAAAUUCUGGAUCUUCAUUGAUUCCUGUUCUUCAUAUGAUUCCACCAAAAUUCAUAAAAGCUCCUCUAUGAGGAUCAUGUGUGAUGUGAGCAGGUAUACCUCAUCAUUGUUAAAUUUGUCAACUCGACAAUCUCUAUUUUCAUUCUUCAUCACUUUGGUGUUGUCUUUAGAUGUCUUACUCUAUUCGUACUGCAACACUUUGAUGGUCAAGUUCCAUAAGAUACUUUGUUCAUUACUUGAUUUACUGUGAAAGUCUCUAAAUUUUUGCUUUCUUUUAUAUAUUAAAGGCGCAGUAAGCUCUUGAGCAUCAAAACUACCACCAUCAUUCCUAAAGGCGAAAGAAGCUACAUCGAUGAUAAAAUAAAGAAGACAUUGAGAGCUUAAUUAUGGUCAAAGCUAGCUUAAUUCUUUUACGGGAGAGGAAUGUGAUUUAAUAUCUAAAAUAGAGCAUGUGAAACAAAAACAAUAAUUUUUUAGUUCUCUGUGCACAAUUUAAAUCUUUGUGUUUGUUUGUUACUUUUCCUGAUUGAGAACUACAAACCAACUUGACUUUUGGAUUAGAAGGGUGUGAAAUGAUUUAAAUUGAACCUGAUUCUUGAAUAUUGGCAGUAUUGAACAAGUUGAAAUGUGAAGAAAUUUGGGGGUAAUUUUUUAGAGUUUUGAACCAAGUUGGACAGAGAAUUAAGACAAUUGGUUGUCUAGUUUUCAAUUUCAGUACUUUUUUUUUUAUCCAUAGUCUUAUAUGUACUAUUUGAAAAUCACUACAAAUGUUAAUUGAAAUUUGAAGUAUUGUGUUGAAACCACAAAUGUAAAUGGAGUUUUAGUAUCUGAAAUAUUUGUGUUGUUGAAAGUUUGAUUAGCUGUUGAGAUUAGCUUAAAACUUGGUCAAAGAAACACGUAUUUACAUAAUUUUUAACAGGUGAAUACUAUUGAUUUGACAUUAUUACUUUUUUUUUUUUUUGAUGACAAGGGAAACUCGCAGCCGCUAUCCUUUGGGUGCUCACAGGGUAAAACCUCCGCUCCUAUGCAAUAGCUCGCAAACCACAUAGGAGAGGUAACCCGCACUAGGCAAGCCUGGUGCGACGAGCUCGACCUAGAAGGCAAACCCCUUGCUUUCACUGGCAAGGGGUUUCGAACUUGAGACCUCCAACAUGGAAGUCCCAAGCUCAAACCACUACUUCUCAUUUGAAAUGAUAAUUGUUAACUUUGAUGAAAUUAUAAAAAGUACAUCUUUUAAAAUCAACGGAAUAUGAGACCAGUAUUCAUAUUAUGCUUUACUAUGUUUUCCUAAAUCAUAAAUACAUAUUAUAUAGUGUACACUUUAGUCAGCUCAUGCCCGUGUCUGCUGUGCAACAUUCAGUAAUCAUAACAUUUUUUUAUUGUUUAUACAUAAGUUUCUAUACUAACAGAUAAUGAAGUUUAUGUGUGCGUAUAAAACCUAGGUUCCUGAAUAAUAGUCUGAAAUAUCAAUCAAUUAUUCUUUAGGACACAUUUCUGUACCUUUGUUUGGAAAUCAUCUAAAUUUAUUGGACUAUUUUGGUAGAUAAAAAACUUAUUAUUCGCGUGCUUUUUAGAAACCUUAAUGUUUUGCAUCAUUUUUGGUAAAUAUGUUGAGAUCUUCUGUAUCUUUUUGAAAAGUUUAUUAUUUGUUACUAAACUAACAUUAACUUGUGUUUUUAUAGCUCAAGAAUAUGAAUACGGAGAAUCUAUCAUUCAAGCAAGUAAGGAGAAAAUUGAAGUUCAGGAGGGAUUUUAUUUUAGGGGUGAUUUAAACACAAUAUUUUAUUUUAUGUAUCUAUGGUGAGUUUUUUCUUUNNNN